Molecule: long non-coding RNA, 2595 nt
Organism: Homo sapiens (human)
Lineage: Eukaryota; Metazoa; Chordata; Mammalia; Primates; Hominidae
Gene: MTHFD2P1
Product: methylenetetrahydrofolate dehydrogenase (NADP+ dependent) 2, methenyltetrahydrofolate cyclohydrolase pseudogene 1
Source: Ensembl
AUGUCUUUGAUGUAAGUCAUGAUAGUACAUCUUUAAUGACAGUUUUCAUGAUGAUGCUUUUGGCUCAACCCAUAGACUAAUCCAGCGAUGAAAGUUACAGCUAUCAUGUUUAUGUCUUCUGCUUUUAAUGAGACUCAUGUGUCCAGAAAUGCUAUCUCUGAAAUAUUCACUGGGUCUUAAGAAACAUUUGGAAAUAUUUCAUUGAGGAACAGCAGUCUUGCUGUCCUCUUUUAUUUACCUCGUCUGAUGUUACUAUUAGAGUAUCUCACCUUUCAAUAAUUAUGGUCAGAUGUGUCAUGUUUUUCAUUUCCUCUGAGUUCAGUAGCCAUGUUUUACCAUGGAUUGGUCUAUACAUUUUAUAGUCUUGGAAACUGGAAAACCAUCUCAGUUAGCUUUUUGUGACAUUCAAGAAAAGUAUUUAUUCUAAUCUAUUCUCAAACUACAAAUAGGCUUUUCCCUCUCCCCUCACCCAAUCGUGGAUGAAGCAAGCUCACUUGGAUGGAAUUGCUUGCUCUCUUCCUUCUCAUUCAAGAAACCUUCUGAAAAUUCAUUUCUUCAUUGUGGUGGAACAACUCCAAUUUCCUGGAUAUUAUUGGAGACGGGGUUUCACUGUGUUAGCCAGGAUGGUCUUGAUUUCCUGACCUCAUGAUCCACCUGCCUCGGCCUCCCAAAGUGCUGGGAUUACAGGCGUGAGCCACCGCUCCUGGCCUGACAGAGAAAUUCAACCCCAGGCCUGGCACAGUGGCUCACACCUGUAAUCACAGCACUUUGGGAGGCCAAGGCAGGUGGAUCAUGAUGUCAAGAGAUCGAAACAAUCCUGGCCAACAUGGUGAAACCACGUUCCUGCUAAAAAUACAAAAAUUAGCUGGGCUUGGUGGUGUGAGCCUGUAGUCCCAGCUACUCGAGAGGCUGAGGCUGGAGAAUCGCUUGAACCCGGGAGGCAGAGGUUGCAGUGAGCUGAGAUCGCACCAUUGCACUCCAGCCUGGCGACCGAGCGGGACUCCGUCUCAAAAAAAAAAAAAAAAAAAAAACAAAAAAAGAAAGAAAUGUAACUCCAGCCUCUGAUGAAAAACGGAUCGGAACCAAGAUGGCCAAAUAGGAACAGCUCCGGUCUACAGCUCUCAGCAUGAGGGACGCAGAAGACAGGUGAUUUCUGCAUUUCCAUCUGAGGCAUAGGCUAUGGCUGUGGCUUCCCUCAUGUCUGCGUUGGCUGCCCAACUGCUCUGUCCCCCGCAGAGCUGCCGCCCGCGCUCUCGCACCUUCCACAGCACGGCAUUUUGGAAUCACCAGUGAGACAAUUGUGAAACCAGCUUCAAUUUCUGAGGAAGAAUUGUUGAAGUUAAUAAAUAAACUGAGUAAUGUUGAUAAUUAGAUAAUUAGAUGGCCACCUUGUUCAGCUGCCUCUUCCAGAGCACACUGAUGAGAGAAAGAUCUGCAAUGCUUUUUCUCCAGACAAGGAUGUUGAUGGCUUUCCUGUAAUGAAUGUAGGACGAAAGUGUUUGGACCAAUAUUCCAUGUUACCGGCUACCCCAUGGGGUGUGUGGGAAAUAAUUAAGCGAACUGACAUUCCAACCCUAGGGAAGAAUGUGGUUGUGACUGGAAGGUCAAAAAUUGUUGGAAUGCCCAUUGUAAUGUCACUGCACAUACGUGGGGUGCAUGAACGUCCCAGAGAUGAUGCCACCGUUAGAAUAUCUCAUGGAUAUACUCCCAAAGAGCAGUUGAAGAAACAAAAUAUUUGCAGAUAUUGUAACAUCCGCUGCACGAAUUCUAAACCUGUUCACAAUAGAUAUAAUCAAGGAAAGAACAGCAGUUGUUGAUGUGGGAAUAACUAGAGUUCAAGAUCCCGUAACUGCUCAACCCAAAUUGGUUGGAGACGUGGGUUUUGAAGGAGUCAGAUAAAAAGCCGGUUACAUCAUGCCACUUCCUGGAGGUGUUGGCCUCAUGACGGUGGCGAUGCUAAUGAAGAAUACCAUUACUGUUGCAAAAAAGUUCUGAGGCUUGAAGAACAGUAAGUGCUGACGUCUAAAGAGCUUGGAGUAGCCACUAAUGAACUAUUGUGUCUUCUAUGUCACAAACAGCACUCCAAGCCAGCUCAAGAAGCAAAGCAGGCCAAUAGAAAGACAAUAUUUUUUAUUUAUUCUACUGAAGUGGUUUAAAAUGAUGCUUUGUAUUUAUUGAAAGCUUAAAUUGGAGGGUGUUUGUGCACAAUAGCUCUGCAGUACCUCACCAGGGAGCAUUCCACUAUGCAGGGGCGUGUAUCUAGCUAACAGCAGCCAUUAACCCAGUGAUGAACCUGGGAGACAUUUGUCAUAUUGAGAUGGAUAUUUAACUCUGUCAAACCACCUCGGUUGAAUAUUUGCCUUCAUUAGGACUGCGUUUCCCAAAUGCUAUUUCAAUAAGAGUUGAUACUCAUUUUAGGCACCAAAACUUUUGGAUUCAACUGAUCAAACCAAAGGAAAAGUGUUGCUAGACAAAAUUAGGGAAAAGGUGAAAGAGGAAAAUAUGGUAGUAAUCGAGUAGAAAAAAAUUCCUCUAAUUUAUAUAUGCAUUGAUUAGUAACCAGAUUUAUCUAAGUAGGACUGAAUUGGCUAGGAU